AACUGGCCAUGAAUAAAUGAAAAAAAUAAUAAAAAAGGAAGGAGGACCCUUUCCUCAAGAAAACCACUACAUGUUACCUCUCUACUCUUCCUCUCUGAACAUUGAAAAAAAAAAGAAAAAGAGAACAUAAACCCUCUCAUUUUUUCAUACUCCAUAUAACCUUUUUUUCACUGUCGGUGACCAUAACGCUGCCCACUUCCGCCGGCUUCCCAAACCACUCUUUCAAACCAAUUCCAUUUUCGUCUCAAACACCUCCGACGUAUCCACCGUUUUCUUUCAAUGUCCACCGGCGAGACUCCGUCCAACCACCACCUUCAUCGUCGCAACUCACAACAACCCCCCGCCGGCAAUAACCCUCCACAUCACAAAUCGGCGAUGUUCCCGUGACCACCGGCGAAGAUCUCGCCAAACAUCUUCGUCAACCGCGAACUCGCCCCUCCGCCGUGACUCAUGCUACCUUCGAUCUGGUCUCUCCCUCUCUCCGGCGACGCCGUAAC
Molecule: long non-coding RNA, 497 nt
Filed under: Lathyrus oleraceus (garden pea)
Lineage: Eukaryota; Viridiplantae; Streptophyta; Magnoliopsida; Fabales; Fabaceae
Description: Pisum sativum (pea) long non-coding RNA (PSAT_LNC017748)
Source: RNAcentral